UCCGGUUGAUCCUGCCGGACCUGACUGCUAUCGGAUUGGUACUAAGCCAUGCGAGUCAUUGUAGCAAUACAAGGCGGACGGCUCAGUAACACGUAGUCAACCUAACUCGUGGACGUGGAUAACCUCGGGAAACUGAGAAUAAACCACGAUAGAUCAUAGUGCCUGGAAUGGCUUAUGGUCCAAACAGUUUACUGCCAUGGGAUGGGACUGCGGCCUAUCAGCUUGUUGGUGAGGUAAUGGCCCACCAAGGCGAUUACAGGUACGGGCUCUGAGAGGAGAAGCCCGGAGAUGGGUACUGAGACACGGACCCAGGCCCUAUGGGGCGCAGCAGGCGAGAAACCUUAGCAAUGUGCGAAAGCACGACUGGGUCAGUCCGAGUGAUUCCUGAUAAAGGAGUCUUUUGCCUGUCCUAAAAGCACAGGUGAAUAAGGGGUGGGCAAGUCUGGUGUCAGCCGCCGCGGUAAUACCAGCACCUCGAGUGGUCAGGACGUUUAUUGGGCCUAAAGCAUCCGUAGCCGGCUCUGCAAGUCUUCGGUUAAAUCCACCUGCUCAACAGAUGGGCCGCUGGAGAUACUACAGAGCUAGGGAGUGGGAGAGGCAGACGGUAUUCAGUGGGUAGGGGUAAAAUCCUCUGAUCCAUUGAGGACCACCAGUGGCGAAGGCGGUCUGCCAGAACACGUUCGACGGUGAGGGAUGAAAGCUGGGGGAGCAAACCGGAUUAGAUACCCGGGUAGUCCCAGCUGUAAACGAUGCAAACUCGGUGAUGCAUUGGCUUAUGGCCAAUGCAGUGCCGCAGGGAAGCCGUUAAGUUUGCCGCCUGGGAAGUACGGACGCAAGUCUGAAACUUAAAGGAAUUGGCGGGGGAGCACAAA
This 872-nucleotide ribosomal RNA is filed under the name uncultured archaeon. Its description in RNAcentral is "bacterial SSU rRNA". It matches the Rfam family "Archaeal small subunit ribosomal RNA", at positions 1 to 882 of the family's 1478-position model. The record is from RNAcentral.